RNAcentral lists this long non-coding RNA (250 nucleotides) under Glycine max (soybean). RNAcentral describes it as "long non-coding RNA (GMAX_LNC000560)". The record is from RNAcentral. Lineage: Eukaryota; Viridiplantae; Streptophyta; Magnoliopsida; Fabales; Fabaceae.
CCUAUCUGAGUCACCCGUCUCAUGAUCGUUUCCUGAGGGAUCAAUACAACUCCUUUUUGUGCUCACUCAAGGACCGGAGGGACCAACAAGAGGCUCGAGAGGCAGUGCAAGUCCCUGAGAUUGCAUCUGCGACUGAAUCUGAGACUGCAUCUGGCUGAAGGUGUUGGAUCAAGUGGCCUCAGAAUAAUUAAGAAGGGGGGGCUGAAUUAAUUAUUCCUAAACCUUUACUAAUUAAAAAUUUACUCUUCUA